RNAcentral lists this ribosomal RNA (254 nucleotides) under uncultured bacterium. RNAcentral describes it as "partial 16S ribosomal RNA". It matches the Rfam family "Bacterial small subunit ribosomal RNA", at positions 1247 to 1500 of the family's 1533-position model. The record is from RNAcentral.
AAGCGAGACGGUGACGUUCAGCAAAUCCCAAAAAUAACGUCCCAGUUCGGAUUGUAGUCUGCAACUCGACUACAUGAAGCUGGAAUCGCUAGUAAUCGCGAAUCAGAAUGUCGCGGUGAAUACGUUCCCGGGUCUUGUACACACCGCCCGUCACACCAUGGGAGUCGGAAAUGCCCGAAGUCAGUGACCUAACCGAAAGGAGGGAGCUGCCGAAGGUGGAGCCGGUAACUGGGGUGAAGUCGUAACAAGGUAUC